UCAAGUUUAUAAGGGCAUACGGCGGAUGCCUAGGCGUUUCGAAACGAAGAAGGACGCGAUAAGCUGCGAUAAGCCGUGGUUAGCUGCAAGUAAGCAUUGAUCCACGGAUUUCCGAAUGGGGCAACCCGGCAAGAGUAACGUCUUGUCACCUUAUCUUCGAGAUAAGGAGAAAACACCCGAUGAACUGAAACAUCUAAGUAGUCGGAGGAAAAGAAAUCAAAGAGAUUCCCUGAGUAGCGGCGAGCGAAACGGGAAGAGCCCAAACCAAGAGACUUCGGUUUCUUGGGGUUGCGGACCUGCAACAAACCGGACACUUUAGUGGAAGCAUCUGGGAAGGUGCGGCAAAGAGAGUGAGACCCUCGUACACGAAAGAGUGAAAAGCGGGCAGGGAUCCAGAGUACCACAGGGCACGAGGAACCCAGUGGGAAGCAGGGUGGACCACCAUCCAAGGCUAAAUACAUCGAAACGACCGAUAGUGAAAAGUACCGUGAGGGAAAGGUGAAAAGAACCCCGGGAGGGGAGUGCAAAAGAACCUGAAACCGUAUGUCUACAAACAGUCGGAGCACAAUUUAACGUGCGACGGCGUGCCUAUUGAAGAAUGAACCGGCGAGUUAAUUUAUGCUGCGAGGUUAAGCAGAAGAUGCGGAGCCGAAGCGAAAGCGAGUCUUAAGAGGGCGAUGAGUAGCAUGGAUUAGACCCGAAACCACAGUGAUCUAUGCAUGUCCAGGUUGAAGCUCAGGUAAAAAUGAGUGGAGGACCGAACCCGUGCGUGUUGAAAAACGUUGGGAUGAGGUGUGCAUAGGGGUGAAAUGCCAAUCGAACGUGGAGAUAGCUGGUUCUCCCCGAAAUAGCUUUAGGGCUAGCCUCAGGCGAAUCACCAUAGAGACGGUAGAGCACUGAUCGGGCAAGGGGGCGUAAAGCCUACCGACCCCAGUCAAACUACGAAUGGCUCAUAUGGGCAGCCUGGGAGUCAGAAUGCGAGUGAUAAGACCCGUAUUCAAGAGGGAAACAGCCCAGACCGCCGGCUAAGGUCCCAAAUGCUGUGCUAAGUGGAAAAGGAUGUAGGACUUCGAAAACAACCAGGAUGUUGGCUCAGAAGCAGCCACCAUUAAAAGAGUGCGUAAUAGCUCACUGGUCGAGAGGCCCUGCGCCGAAAAUAUCCGGGGCUAAAGCACAGAACCGAAGCCGCGGCAGGGUGUACUAAGGUACACACUGGGUAGGGGAGCGUUCUUAUCUGGACGAAGGCAGACCGGAAGGACUGCUGGACGGGUAAGAAGUGAGAAUGCCGGUAUGAGUAGCGAAACGACAGGUGAGAAUCCUGUCCACCGAAAGCCUAAGGGAUCCUGGGCAACGCUCGUCGCCCCAGGGUAAGUCGGGACCUAAGCCGAGGCGAAAAGCAUAGGCGAUGGACAACUGGCGAAAAUUCCAGUACCGGGCGUCUUCGUUUAAGGAUGGAGUGACGCAGGAAGGAAGCUGAGCGCGCGAAUGGUUGGGCGCGUCGAAGGCGGUAGGCUUGUAUGGAGGCAAAUCCCCAUACUAUAAGGCCGAGAACCGAUAGAUAGGAAAGACUACGGUCAAUCUGAAUUCAGCUGCACUACACUGCCAAGAAAAGCUUCUAACGAGAAGACGUCUGCCCGUACCAAAACCGACACAGGUAGGCGGGGAGAGAAUCCUAAGGUGCGCGGGAAAACCCUCGUUAAGGAACUCGGCAAAAUGCAUCCGUAACUUCGGGAAAAGGAUGGCCGUAGCUGGUGAAGCUUUUUACAAGUGGAGCUGGAGACGGCGGCAGAAAAGAGGCCCAAGCGACUGUUUACCACAAACACAGGUGCCUGCGAAAGCGCAAGCUGAAGUAUAGGUGCUGACGCCUGCCCGGUGCAGGAAGGUUAAGGAGAGUUGUUAGUCCUAGAGAUGAAGCAGCGAACUGAAGCCCCUGUAAACGGCGGCCGUAACUAUAACGGUCCUAAGGUAGCGAAAUUCCUUGUCGGGU
This 1987-nucleotide ribosomal RNA is filed under the name human oral metagenome. Its description in RNAcentral is "bacterial LSU rRNA". It matches the Rfam family "Bacterial large subunit ribosomal RNA", at positions 3 to 1977 of the family's 2925-position model. The record is from RNAcentral.